GUCUCAGUUCGGACUGUGGUCUGCAACCCGACCACACGAAGCUGGAAUCGCUAGUAAUCGCGAAUCAGAAUGUCGCGGUGAAUACGUUCCCGGGUCUUGUACACACCGCCCGUCACACCAUGGGAGUCAGCAACGCCCGAAGUCAGUGACCUAACCGAAAGGGAGGAGCUGCCGAAGGCGGGGCCGGUAACUGGGGUGAAGUCGUAACAAGGUAUC
RNAcentral lists this ribosomal RNA (216 nucleotides) under uncultured bacterium. Its description in RNAcentral is "partial 16S ribosomal RNA". It matches the Rfam family "Bacterial small subunit ribosomal RNA", at positions 1285 to 1500 of the family's 1533-position model. The record is from RNAcentral.